Molecule: ribosomal RNA, 2147 nt
Filed under: Escherichia coli
Lineage: Bacteria; Pseudomonadati; Pseudomonadota; Gammaproteobacteria; Enterobacterales; Enterobacteriaceae
Description: partial 23S ribosomal RNA
Rfam family: Bacterial large subunit ribosomal RNA
Source: RNAcentral
GGGACACGUGGUAUCCUGUCUGAAUAUGGGGGGACCAUCCUCCAAGGCUAAAUACUCCUGACUGACCGAUAGUGAACCAGUACCGUGAGGGAAAGGCGAAAAGAACCCCGGCGAGGGGAGUGAAAAAGAACCUGAAACCGUGUACGUACAAGCAGUGGGAGCCUCUUAAUGGGGUGACUGCGUACCUUUUGUAUAAUGGGUCAGCGACUUAUAUUCUGUAGCAAGGUUAACCGAAUAGGGGAGCCGAAGGGAAACCGAGUCUUAACUGGGCGUUAAGUUGCAGGGUAUAGACCCGAAACCCGGUGAUCUAGCCAUGGGCAGGUUGAAGGUUGGGUAACACUAACUGGAGGACCGAACCGACUAAUGUUGAAAAAUUAGCGGAUGACUUGUGGCUGGGGGUGAAAGGCCAAUCAAACCGGGAGAUAGCUGGUUCUCCCCGAAAGCUAUUUAGGUAGCGCCUCGUGAAUUCAUCUCCGGGGGUAGAGCACUGUUUCGGCAAGGGGGUCAUCCCGACUUACCAACCCGAUGCAAACUGCGAAUACCGGAGAAUGUUAUCACGGGAGACACACGGCGGGUGCUAACGUCCGUCGUGAAGAGGGAAACAACCCAGACCGCCAGCUAAGGUCCCAAAGUCAUGGUUAAGUGGGAAACGAUGUGGGAAGGCCCAGACAGCCAGGAUGUUGGCUUAGAAGCAGCCAUCAUUUAAAGAAAGCGUAAUAGCUCACUGGUCGAGUCGGCCUGCGCGGAAGAUGUAACGGGGCUAAACCAUGCACCGAAGCUGCGGCAGCGACGCUUAUGCGUUGUUGGGUAGGGGAGCGUUCUGUAAGCCUGUGAAGGUGGCCUGUGAGGGUUGCUGGAGGUAUCAGAAGUGCGAAUGCUGACAUAAGUAACGAUAAAGCGGGUGAAAAGCCCGCUCGCCGGAAGACCAAGGGUUCCUGUCCAACGUUAAUCGGGGCAGGGUGAGUCGACCCCUAAGGCGAGGCCGAAAGGCGUAGUCGAUGGGAAACAGGUUAAUAUUCCUGUACUUGGUGUUACUGCGAAGGGGGGACGGAGAAGGCUAUGUUGGCCGGGCGACGGUUGUCCCGGUUUAAGCGUGUAGGCUGGUUUUCCAGGCAAAUCCGGAAAAUCAAGGCUGAGGCGUGAUGACGAGGCACUACGGUGCUGAAGCGACAAAUGCCCUGCUUCCAGGAAAAGCCUCUAAGCAUCAGGUAACAUCAAAUCGUACCCCAAACCGACACAGGUGGUCAGGUAGAGAAUACCAAGGCGCUUGAGAGAACUCGGGUGAAGGAACUAGGCAAAAUGGUGCCGUAACUUCGGGAGAAGGCACGCUGAUAUGUAGGUGAAGCGACUUGCUCGUGGAGCUGAAAUCAGUCGAAGAUACCAGCUGGCUGCAACUGUUUAUUAAAAACACAGCACUGUGCAAACACGAAAGUGGACGUAUACGGUGUGACGCCUGCCCGGUGCCGGAAGGUUAAUUGAUGGGGUUAGCGGUAACGCGAAGCUCUUGAUCGAAGCCCCGGUAAACGGCGGCCGUAACUAUAACGGUCCUAAGGUAGCGAAAUUCCUUGUCGGGUAAGUUCCGACCUGCACGAAUGGCGUAAUGAUGGCCAGGCUGUCUCCACCCGAGACUCAGUGAAAUUGAACUCGCUGUGAAGAUGCAGUGUACCCGCGGCAAGACGGAAAGACCCCGUGAACCUUUACUAUAGCUUGACACUGAACAUUGAGCCUUGAUGUGUAGGAUAGGUGGGAGGCUUUGAAGUGUGGACGCCAGUCUGCAUGGAGCCGACCUUGAAAUACCACCCUUUAAUGUUUGAUGUUCUAACGUGGGCCCCUUACCGGGGUUGCGGACAGUGUCUGGUGGGUAGUUUGACUGGGGCGGUCUCCUCCUAAAGAGUAACGGAGGAGCACGAAGGUUGGCUAAUCCUGGUCGGACAUCAGGAGGUUAGUGCAAUGGCAUAAGCCAGCUUGACUGCGAGCGUGACGGCGCGAGCAGGUGCGAAAGCAGGUCAUAGUGAUCCGGUGGUUCUGAAUGGAAGGGCCAUCGCUCAACGGAUAAAAGGUACUCCGGGGAUAACAGGCUGAUACCGCCCAAGAGUUCAUAUCGACGGCGGUGUUUGGCACCUCGAUGUCGGCUCAUCACAUCCUGG